Molecule: ribosomal RNA, 623 nt
Filed under: Cylydrorhinus caudiculatus
Lineage: Eukaryota; Metazoa; Arthropoda; Insecta; Coleoptera; Curculionidae
Description: partial 16S ribosomal RNA
Rfam family: Bacterial large subunit ribosomal RNA
Source: RNAcentral
GGCCUUUUGAGUAUGAUUUAAGGUCUAACCUGCCCAAUGAGUUUUUAAAUGGCCGCGGUAUUUUGACCGUGCAAAGGUAGCAUAAUCAUUAGUUUUUUAAUUGAAAGCUGGAAUGAAAGGUUGAAUGAAAAAAUAACUGUCUCUAUUUAAAUUCAUUAGAAUUUUAUUUUUAAGUAAAAAAGCUUAAAUUUGGUUAGAAGACGAGAAGACCCUAUAGAGUUUUAUUAAUGGAUAUUAUAAAAUUUUAGUAUUAAAGUUUUUGUAAUUAAAAUUAAUUUAAUUGGGGUGAUUGAAAAAUUUAAUAAACUUUUUUUUAAUUUAAACAUUUAUUUAUGAGUAUUUGAUCCUUUUUUAAAGAUUAAAAGAUACAAUUACCUUAGGGAUAACAGCGUAAUUUUCCUAGAGAGUUCAAAUCGAAAGGAAAGAUUGCGACCUCGAUGUUGGAUUAAAAUAAAAUUUUGGUGUAGAAGCUAAAGUAUUUGGGUCUGUUCGACCUUUAAAAUUUUACAUGAUCUGAGUUUAAACCGGCGUGAGCCAGGUUGGUUUCUAUCUCUAUUAAUAAAAAAUAUCCUAGUACGAAAGGACCGGGUAUUUGAUUAAAAAUUUGAUUAUAGGAUAAUAUU